CUACGGGUGGCAGCAGUGAGGAAUAUUGGUCAAUGGGCGCGAGCCUGAACCAGCCAUCCCGCGUGCAGGAUGACGGCCCUAUGAGUUGUAAACUGCUUUUCUAUGCCAAGAAACCUGAUUACGUGUAAUCAGUUGCCGGUAGCAUAGGAAUAAGCAUCGGCUAACUCCGUGCCAGCAGCCGCGGUAAUACGGAGGAUGCAAGCGUUAUCCGGAUUCAUUGGGUUUAAAGGGUGCGCAGGUGGGCUUGUAAGUCAGUGGUGAAAUGCUGCCGCUUAACGGUAGAACUGCCAUUGAUACUGCGAGUCUUGAGUAUGGUUGAGGUAGGCGGAAUGUGUUGUGUAGCGGUGAAAUGCAUAGAUAUGACACAGAACGCCAAUUGCGAAGGCAGCUUACUAAGCCAUUACUGACGCUGAGGCACGAAAGCGUGGGGAGCGAACAGGAUUAGAUACCCGGGUAGUC
This 459-nucleotide ribosomal RNA is filed under the name uncultured bacterium. RNAcentral describes it as "partial 16S ribosomal RNA". It matches the Rfam family "Bacterial small subunit ribosomal RNA", at positions 339 to 795 of the family's 1533-position model. The record is from RNAcentral.